UACGAAGGGGGCUAGCGUUGCUCGGAAUCACUGGGCGUAAAGCGCACGUAGGCGGUUUCUUAAGUCAGGGGUGAAAUCCUGGAGCUCAACUCCAGAACUGCCUUUGAUACUGGGAAGCUCGAGUCCGGAAGAGGUGAGUGGAACUCCGAGUGUAGAGGUGAAAUUCGUAGAUAUUCGGAAGAACACCAGUGGCGAAGGCGGCUCACUGGUCCGGUACUGACGCUGAGGUGCGAAAGCGUGGGGAGCAAACAGG
Molecule: ribosomal RNA, 253 nt
Filed under: uncultured bacterium
Lineage: Bacteria
Description: partial 16S ribosomal RNA
Rfam family: Bacterial small subunit ribosomal RNA
Source: RNAcentral